This 226-nucleotide ribosomal RNA is filed under the name uncultured bacterium. RNAcentral describes it as "partial 16S ribosomal RNA". It matches the Rfam family "Bacterial small subunit ribosomal RNA", at positions 538 to 763 of the family's 1533-position model. The record is from RNAcentral.
GCGUUGUCCGGAAUUACUGGGCGUAAAGAGCUCGUAGGUGGUUUGUCGCGUUGUUCGUGAAAUCUCACGGCUUAACUGUGAGCGUGCGGGCGAUACGGGCAGACUUGAGUACUGCAGGGGAGACUGGAAUUCCUGGUGUAGCGGUGGAAUGCGCAGAUAUCAGGAGGAACACCGGUGGCGAAGGCGGGUCUCUGGGCAGUAACUGACGCUGAGGAGCGAAAGCGUG